UCAUCAAAGUCGCUUGAUAUCGCAGGUGUCUCUGAAUAACGAAAGCAUCGUGGACAAUCAUCGUUGAAGAUGGUCAAGAUCCUUCCAAGUUCUUGAACGAACUCGUAUCCUCAAAAUCAGGAUCGUUAAAAUAUUAUUGAGAUCAGCUUGAGGUGCUCGCCGCGGAAGACAUCAUCGCACGCACGCAGAUUAAAUAUCGUGGGAGGUACGAGUGGCUCGAUUCGCGCGACCGGCAAGCAUCGCUGCGCUUUUCAAUGAACGAACGUGACUCAUGCUCCACCGCGACCGCGUAAAUAUUUAUCGCGAAUAAUGCAACCGCGUGGGAGGAGGCUGUAUCUUGCGCGCGGGCCAAACUUUGCCUCUCUCUCUCUCUCUCUCUCUCUCUAUCUCUUUCCGCUCUCUCGCCGACUCCUCUGACCCUGAGGGACAUUCUUGGCAUGACGCGUAAGAUCUGUCCCGACGAGGAACGAGGAGAGCCAAACGACGACGGCCAGAGACUAGAGACAACGGGUAGAGAAAAGCUUAGGCUGGUGAGCCACGGGGUUUUGAGCACGAAGUUUACACAUUGUCAUUUGGGACACGGCGCGACGAAGACGGAAAACAACGAAGAACGGCGACACUGUACGAAGGAAGCGAGAAGCUUCGCUGUUGGGCUAAGGAUGGAACGAAAGGAGAGGUUCGGAUCGGUAAGAGGGACAAGGUGGAAGCACAAAGCGGAAGAAAGAAAGAGCGUGAAAGAGAGGAAAGGGAGAAGAAGGAAAAGAGGGAGAAUUUUAGAGAGGGUUAAACGGAGAGAGAAAGGACGACCGAGGGAGAGAAUGGCAAAGACGGAGAAAGGGUAACGGAGUCCUUGGUGGACCACUAGGAUCCAUCCCCACGUAGCUGCCGUCUUCCGUGCAGGGGUUGCUCCGGUGGAAGGGAUACUCAGGGGAAGAUUAGAGGGGUGGGGGUGCUAUAUAAGACCGGCGCAAGGGGGGGAGAGCUCAGUUCGUCCAAGAGAAGCGUAUCGGUCACGUCGUUGCCACGAUCGUUCACGAGACUCUCAUGGAACACGGGACUUGUCUCUCCACACAUACACACACACACGACGCCGUGCUCUUGUCGCCACGAGAACAACGAGACCGGACCACGCUCUAGGAUUCAAGGUGUUUUCCAGCGCAUUUUCGAAGGAAACGCAGUGCAGCUACGGUAAACGAAAUUUCACGUGCAAUCGGAGUGAAGAACUGGCAACACAAUUAUGUCUGCGGCUUCUUCAUCAACGCGAUCAGCGGACGGUGGCAUCGUUUACACCUGUACGGCUUCGAAGCUUCAUCCAUCGCUACGAAUUGCUGUUUACAGACUGACCAUUAAGUGAGACGUCGCCUGUGACAGACACUCGACUAGAGGGUAAAAUCGGUGGGUCUGUUAAAAAUCGAAGACACGGGAAUUGGAUUAGAAGAACCGGUGAAAAAGGUCGCGCGGUCGUUUAUACUCUCCCGAACCCUGUCGAGUGAAGCUUAACCUGAAAUAACAUCUGGUUGUUGUCAAGUGCUCUUCCUGCUCCAGUCGAUUCAUCUUCGAUAAGUUACAAGAUCCAGAAAACAGCUGGCCCGAGAGCGAAGGUCGCCGGCCAUGGAAUAUAAUUAGUCCGCACCACUUAUGGAACGUCAGGCCAACUAUGGGUACACUGUACGCUGAAACGCUCACGCUAGUCGUCACGAGAUCUACUUGGAAAUCGGCCUUUGUCCAACACGUGUGUCCACGGACAGCUUUAUUUCCUUCUUAAAGCGACUCCUUCGUUCUACCAUCUGGACCAUAUGCCACGAAAGGAACGUCAGGAAAUGACCUGCGCAUUGAUGGUCAGUAUCGGCAAAUCUUUCAAUGGUAACCAACUAUUUUUUCAGGAACGUUCCAUGGACUUUUCCUCUAUUCCUUUAGAGGAUCCUUAGCGGGUCGAUUGUUCGACGAAGCCUUGGACGAGCCUUUGGAUUUUCCAAACAGCAGAUAACCGAUGCCAGAGUGCAUAGUAUAUUACGACAGCUGUAAUUGCCGGUGUAUUAGCCAUUGCAAAUGUGGAACGUGCCAACCACAAGGUUUCCCUCGUAAACCUGGGGGAAGAAGAUCGUCCAAUUAACUGUCUUGUUUAAUUGAAUCUUAUUUCCUUUCCGCUUGGUCCAGUUCCAUCGGGGCUUCCGCGCUUAAUCGCGCAAGCCGAACGCAAUGCCUAGAAGAACAACCACGGACAAAAGUAAUUUCAGCCUCCUCCUGGUAAAUCACGGGACGAUUUAUUGUACGAUAGAAAAGACAGAGUUAAAUGGAGCAGCAUUUUUGUCGUAGUCGUUGGUACUUGAGCCUUCGACAGCUCGCAAAUUGUCGUCGAGAGCCGCUCGAAUUUUGUGAAAACGGACCAUACCACGUUUAAAUGCCCGUCCAGACACGGGGCAUUCUUUCGAAUUUUUCAGACAAUUCGUUUUGCGGCGGAUGCCACGAGGGAGAGAACAGCAAGCAGAAACGAAGUAGCGGAGUUUCGGGAACCAAGGGGAUGCGGGGAGCAAUUCCCCGGGACGAGUCGAGGUGGAGGUGCAGGUAUUCUUUUUAAGGCGGAACACUUUACCGUUGCUCGUUCCACGCUGGUAAUGGAGAAUCUCCCAGCCACCCCAAGGAAUUAAUUCGAGGCUAACGCCGAGACACUCCCCGAUAUCGAGUCACUUCGUUCCACGGGCCAAUGUUAGUAUCUGCUUACCACCCUCUCGGUUAGCUUUUCACCGUACUUAGCCAUUUCGACUCCUUCUUUUCUCUUCUUGUUCAGCGAAACGAUUUCUAAUUUGUCCUCUAAUUUGUCCAAGAUCCUCGAAUCCGUUUUACUGGGUCACUUGAAAAAAGCAAAGAAAGAGGACAGAGAAAAAAAAAAAGAAAGGUAAAAUGUUCUCUGUAUCUUUUUCCGCCUCUUACGUCCACUGGCUGCAUCUGCGUACGUAUUCGUCGGAUAUUUGGCUGCGAUUUUUGCCAUCAAUUGUGCGCUUAAGCAGCCGUAGUAGCCCUUUAUUGCCAGGGUCGUGGUCUCCAAGAUGAAAAGCGAACUCCUGGCGAGCUUCCACCAGAAUUAAGAGACACUCGAGGCGCUUUUUAAUUAGCACGAAAGGACAUCAUCGGGAAGAGGCAGAGCUUCGGUCUAAAUACGUAAUUAAAGCCGUGAAUGGGGUAGUUACAGUAACUGCGUGAAACGUCAUCGACUGCCAGUGAAAUCGGCCGGAAAACGCACUCUUUCGGAAACGUGCUGGCGCAAUUCUUCUUCCCACGUCCUCUCAAAAACUCAUUCUCAUAACUUUAUCUAUAUUUACGCGUGAAGCUCCCUCGUCGUAAAUGCAAAUCUUUCAGAAAUUUGUUUACAUUCUCGCAUCGAGGAAGGAUCACGAUGGCAUCCCUCUUUCACGAUACAAAGCACGUGUUAUUCGCCGCUUCGCAUGUCUCUAAAAUUCUUCCAGCGUAAGUAACAUCCCUGCCCUUGAAAAAUUCGGAAAAUUCGGCAAGAAAAUCAGAAACUGCCAUUCGAAAACUUCCCCCACCGCCUAACUUUACGUACGCCUACUUUACGCGUGAAAUUUAUUUCAUAGACGCAAAUCUUCUAGAUUCUCGUACGAAGGAGAAAUCAGGAGAAGGCAGGAUUUUCUUCACGAUGCGAAGCACGUGUCGUUCGCCGCAGAAUCUGCUUCUCUCUAGAAUUCUUCGGGUAUAAUCUCUCCCCUUCUGACGAAAAUUCAGAAGAUUCCGAAGAAAAGCAAAAAAUCGAAAUUCGAAAGCCUGGUGUUUGAGUAAGUACACACAGGAUGCCUUUGAAAGCAUCUUCGGGCGCGCGAAAGAGAUGAACGAGAUCGGGGCGCGAGGUCGAGGGAGGCUGGCACAGCUUGAAAGGGAGGGGGAGAACCCGAGGGCCGAGAAAGAGAGGGAAAUUCAAAGAUGGCGCCACGCGUAUGCCCGACAGAGAUAAAGCACAAGGGUUAAAGAAAGACGUGCACUUUCGUUGGCUUCCCCUCUCACAGCGACGAAGAGUGACCGGGCCGAAAAGUCCGAAUCCGAUCGUGGAACGGCUCAGUAGUGCGCGAGACACAUUUCCCGACGCGUGUUCGUCGCUCGUAUCGAUAUCUCUCGAUGAUUCACGAGCGUUGCGGCGAGAAUACGCGGCGACCAAUCCCCAGUUCCGUUACAUCAGCAUCCGACUACGUGGGUCCUCGACGAUUGGCUCUCUCUGCACUGCGCUCGAGUAUCUCUCUCUAGCAACCAGAAAGGGAGAAAAAGAGAUGCACUCGUAUAUUUUAUACUCGCGAUUCUGGCUUAUUCUCGUACGAGAUACAGCGUGAUCUGUUCGCUGAAGAAUCGUGCGUGCUUUUCGUGUGAAACGAGAAAUUACGAGCUUUCGACGAAGAGGAAACGUUAGCGAGAAUUCAACCAACAGCCGAGCGACAGAGAAAGGGAAGAGAGGGAGAGCAGAGCAGAGCAGAGUAAGAGGGUAUUUUGGACGCAGAUCGAUCGGUCGCGGCCGCUCUCCGGUUCGCGCCAUGUGACCGGUCAAAGACCAGUCUGCAUAGAAAAAGAGGUUAGAAAACUUAUCCGUUGUCUUUACGCGUACGGUGGCCGCGUGGUGUUACGUCCGUUCGUUAAUCGAGAAAAUGAGAGGUGUCGAGUAGCUUGACGUUAUCAGUAGCGCGCGAGCCAGUGAACGAUUCGGUUGUUUCUCAUAAAGUGUGCAUCGGUCGCGUUAGUUGUUAUAGUGGCGGUCUUCGAUGAGCGCGAUCGCGAGGGAAAUGAGAACAACGGAGUUUGCUACGAGAGUGUGUAGUUGUCUCGGGUCAGAUGUAAAAAUAAAAGGAAGCAGACGUGUCUCAAGGCUAUCGCGCCGCAUAUUGUCUCGCCAGGAGCGUAAAAUCACGCGAGAGUCUCCCUGCAUACCGUUUAUUUCAUUCCGCCGAUAUCCUCCGACGUAAGCGCGCGCAUCCUCUUAUCAUCGCUACGCUCGUAUACUUGCACGGUUUACACGCGAGAGUGUUACUAAUAUAACCCGCUCUCCGAGUGGAGCUUUUGUUCAGUGUCACGAGUUUAUUCUUCGUCGCUUGAAAAAAAUCGCGCGCUUUAGAAAGGAAAUAAAUUAGAUCACGGUAGUUUAAGUAAUUAAAUGUCAGCCGAAUAUAAUGUAAAGCGUAUAAUGUGCAUAUAUGAGAUUAUAAUAUUAAUUCCUCUUGUUUUUAUAUUUGUUACUGUAAAAAAAAAAUACAAAAAAAAAAACAGGACGAAUUUGUGUUACAACCCAGUAGUAUAAUACAAUGUAAGGAUUAAUUCCAUCGUUGAUAUAUUGGCAACAACGAAACGUAUUUUUCGUUUGUUUUGCUUUCGAUCUCUUCUCUCGCCGUAUCUCGAUUCCGGUGAGACAAAAAGAACGCGGCAUGGAACAAAUGCAGGGUUCGUCCGUGCAUGAAAUUCUACGAGGUUCGUUCCGAGAAAGAAAUCAGCUCGAAGAAAAAUAAAUAAACGUGUGUUGCUUCUCUGCAUACGUUCGAUACAUUGCUAGCACUUUUUCGAUGAUUCGUUUGCGACAAAACUCCAUUAUCGUAUACAUAUAGCAAAUAUUUAUGUAUUUAAUCGCUUUGGGGCCGAUAGUUAGUAAAAUAUUCGUUUCAAGAAGUACGAUCUACCAAGAUCUAUCUCUUCAUGGAAUCAUAAACUUUGAAAAGCACGUGUGCUCAGGCCACGUGUUCUGUAACGUUACGAAAGAAUUUUCUGUGGGGUCUUGAGUCUUCCUUUAUUCUUUUUCUUCGUAAUACUCAUUCUUGCUUCUUGUUAAUAGCAAGCGGGACACGAAUGGUUUAUUUCUUUUUCCUCCAUUAGGAGGAUGUUAAAACGUUUUCUUUGGGGCUUCAAGUUUUUUUUUUUUUUUUUUUUGUUAAAU
Bombus pyrosoma is the source of this 5920-nucleotide long non-coding RNA. RefSeq lists it as uncharacterized. Lineage: Eukaryota; Metazoa; Arthropoda; Insecta; Hymenoptera; Apidae. The transcript is spliced from 5 exons. The record is from RefSeq and is a predicted model, not a curated record.